GGUCAGGCGGGACUACCCGCUGAGUUUAAGCAUAU
RNAcentral lists this ribosomal RNA (35 nucleotides) under Luffa acutangula (angled luffa). RNAcentral's name for it is "partial 28S ribosomal RNA". The record is from RNAcentral. Lineage: Eukaryota; Viridiplantae; Streptophyta; Magnoliopsida; Cucurbitales; Cucurbitaceae.